Molecule: ribosomal RNA, 413 nt
Filed under: uncultured microorganism
Description: bacterial SSU rRNA
Rfam family: Bacterial small subunit ribosomal RNA
Source: RNAcentral
GAGUUUGAUCUUGGCUCAGGACGAACGCUGGCGGCGUGCUUAACACAUGCAAGUCGAACGAGAAUCUACUGAAAGAGUUUUCGGACAAUGGAAGUAGGGGAAAGUGGCGGACGGGUGAGUAACGCGUGAGGAACCUGCCUUGAAGAGGGGACAACAGUUGGAACGACUGCUAAUACCGCAUGAUGCAUAAGGGUCGCAUGAUUCUUAUGCCAAAGAUUUAUCGCUUCAAGAUGGCCUCGCGUCUGAUUAGCUAGUUGGCGGGGUAACGGCCCACCAAGGCGACGAUCAGUAGCCGGACUGAGAGGUUGAACGGCCACAUUGGGACUGAGAUACGGCCCAGACUCCUACGGGAGGCAGCAGUGGGGAAUAUUGGGCAAUGGGCGCAAGCCUGACCCAGCAACGCCGCGUGAAGG